GACGAACGCUGGCGGCGUGCUUUACACAUGCAAGUCGAACGGUGAAGGUGGAGCUUGCUCCGCCGGAUCAGUGGCGAACGGGUGAGUAACACGUGGGCAACCUGCCCCUGACUUUGGGAUAACUACUCGAAAGAGUAGCUAAUACCGGAUAUGAAGUCUGUAGGCAUCUAUGGAUUUGGAAAGUUUUUCGGCUAGGGAUGGGCCCGCGGCCUAUCAGCUUGUUGGUGAGGUAGUGGCUCACCAAGGCGACGACGGGUAGCCGGCCUGAGAGGGCGACCGGCCACACUGGGACUGAGACACGGCCCAGACUCCUACGGGAGGCAGCAGUGGGGAAUAUUGCGCAAUGGGCGAAAGCCUGACGCAGCAACGCCGCGUGCGGGAUGAAGGCCUUCGGGUUGUAAACCGCUUUCAGCAGGGAAGAAGCGAAAGUGACGGUACCUGCAGAAGAAGCACCGGCUAACUACGUGCCAGCCGCCGCCGUAA
RNAcentral lists this ribosomal RNA (483 nucleotides) under uncultured bacterium. Its description in RNAcentral is "partial 16S ribosomal RNA". It matches the Rfam family "Bacterial small subunit ribosomal RNA", at positions 28 to 523 of the family's 1533-position model. The record is from RNAcentral.